RNAcentral lists this transfer RNA (76 nucleotides) under Camelus bactrianus (Bactrian camel). It matches the Rfam family "tRNA". Rfam says of the family: Transfer RNA (tRNA) molecules are approximately 80 nucleotides in length. Their secondary structure includes four short double-helical elements and three loops (D, anti-codon, and T loops). Further hydrogen bonds mediate the characteristic L-shaped molecular structure. tRNAs have two regions of fundamental functional importance: the anti-codon, which is responsible for specific mRNA codon recognition, and the 3' end, to which the tRNAs corresponding amino acid is attached (by aminoacyl-tRNA synthetases). tRNAs cope with the degeneracy of the genetic code in two manners: having more than one tRNA (with a specific anti-codon) for a particular amino acid; and 'wobble' base-pairing, i.e. permitting non-standard base-pairing at the 3rd anti-codon position. Lineage: Eukaryota; Metazoa; Chordata; Mammalia; Artiodactyla; Camelidae. RNAcentral also lists the same sequence under 2 other names. The record is from Rfam by way of RNAcentral.
GAGGGCAUAGCUCAGUGGUAGAGUGUAGUGUUAGCAAGCAUGAGGUCCUGCCUGGGUUCAAUCCCCAGUACCUCCA